GGGUGGUUAGUCCAAAAAAGACACUUGAUUUCGGCUCAAGAGACUGAGGUUAUAGUCCUCAACCACCUU
Molecule: transfer RNA, 69 nt
Filed under: Neoscopelus macrolepidotus
Lineage: Eukaryota; Metazoa; Chordata; Actinopteri; Myctophiformes; Neoscopelidae
Description: tRNA-Arg
Rfam family: tRNA
About the family: Transfer RNA (tRNA) molecules are approximately 80 nucleotides in length. Their secondary structure includes four short double-helical elements and three loops (D, anti-codon, and T loops). Further hydrogen bonds mediate the characteristic L-shaped molecular structure. tRNAs have two regions of fundamental functional importance: the anti-codon, which is responsible for specific mRNA codon recognition, and the 3' end, to which the tRNAs corresponding amino acid is attached (by aminoacyl-tRNA synthetases). tRNAs cope with the degeneracy of the genetic code in two manners: having more than one tRNA (with a specific anti-codon) for a particular amino acid; and 'wobble' base-pairing, i.e. permitting non-standard base-pairing at the 3rd anti-codon position.
Source: RNAcentral